CAUGCAUGAUGAACGAGGGCCCGCCUUCGUAGAGAAGACUAGUGGCGAACGGGUGACUAACACGUGAGCAACCUGCCCCGAAGACUGGGAUAACAGCGGGAAACCGCUGCUAAUACCGGUAUAUCCCCACCGGAUCGCAUGAUCUGGUGAGGAAAUGGAUUCCGCUUCGGGAGGGGCUCGCGGCCUAUCAGUUUGUUGGUGGGGUAACGGCCCACCAAGGCAACGACGGGUAGCUGGUCUGAGAGGACGAUCAGCCACACUGGGACUGAGACACGGCCCAGACUCCUACGGGAGGCAGCAGUGGGGAAUCUUGCGCAAUGGGCGAAAGCCUGACGCAGCAACGCCGCGUGAGGGAUGACGGCCUUCGGGUUGUAAACCUCUUUCGAGCAGGGACGAUUGUGACGGUACCUGCAGAAGAAGCUCCGGCCAACUACGUGCCAGCAGCCGCGGUAAU
This 454-nucleotide ribosomal RNA is filed under the name uncultured bacterium. Its description in RNAcentral is "bacterial SSU rRNA". It matches the Rfam family "Bacterial small subunit ribosomal RNA", at positions 54 to 524 of the family's 1533-position model. The record is from RNAcentral.